Molecule: ribosomal RNA, 492 nt
Filed under: uncultured bacterium
Lineage: Bacteria
Description: partial 16S ribosomal RNA
Rfam family: Bacterial small subunit ribosomal RNA
Source: RNAcentral
AGUGAACGCUGGCGGUAGGCCUAACACAUGCAAGUCGAACGGCAGCACAGUAAGAGCUUGCUCUUACGGGUGGCGAGUGGCGGACGGGUGAGGAAUACAUCGGAAUCUACUUUUUCGUGGGGGAUAACGUAGGGAAACUUACGCUAAUACCGCAUACGACCUACGGGUGAAAGCAGGGGAUCUUCGGACCUUGCGCGAUUGAAUGAGCCGAUGUCGGAUUAGCUAGUUGGCGGGGUAAAGGCCCACCAAGGCGACGAUCCGUAGCUGGUCUGAGAGGAUGGUCAGCCACACUGGAACUGGGACACGGUCCAGACUCCUACGGGAGGCAGCAGUGGGGAAUAUUGGACAAUGGGCGCAAGCCUGAUCCAGCCAUCCCGCGUGGGUGAAGAAGGCCUUCGGGUUGUAAAGCCCUUUUGUUGGGAAAGAAAAGCAGCAGGUUAAUACCCCGCUGUUCUGACGGUACCCAAAGAAUAAGCACCGGCUAACUUCGUG